RNAcentral lists this ribosomal RNA (498 nucleotides) under uncultured bacterium. RNAcentral describes it as "bacterial SSU rRNA". It matches the Rfam family "Bacterial small subunit ribosomal RNA", at positions 952 to 1467 of the family's 1533-position model. The record is from RNAcentral.
CGAAGCAACGCGCAGAACCUUACCAACCCUUGACAUCGCCUGACCGGCCUGGAGACAGGUCUUUCCCGCAAGGGACAGGUGGACAGGUGCUGCAUGGCUGUCGUCAGCUCGUGUCGUGAGAUGUUCGGUUAAGUCCGGCAACGAGCGCAACCCACACCCUCGGUUGCCAGCAGGUCAAGCUGGGCACUUUGGGGGAACUGCCCGUGAUAAGCGGGAGGAAGGUGUGGAUGACGUCAAGUCCUCAUGGCCCUUACGGGUUGGGCUACACACGUGCUACAAUGGUGGUGACAGAGGGUUUAUCCCUAAAAGCCAUCUCAGUUCGGAUUGUCGUCUGCAACUCGACGGCAUGAAGUCGGAAUCGCUAGUAAUCGCGCAUCAGCUCGGCGCGGUGAAUACGUUCCCGGGCCUUGUACACACCGCCCGUCACACCAUGGGAGUUGGGUUGACCCGAAGGUGGUGCGCCGACCUCGCAAGAGGGGGCAGCCAACCACGGUCAGU